GUAGGUGAACCUGCGGAAGGAUCAUUAACACUUUUAUGUGCCCUACUAAACUAAACCGGUGACCAAAACCUGCUCGUGAGUUAGCUAUAGAUGGCGGUUUACUCUGCCUAUCUUUUUCUAGCUUCGCGAGGAUAAAUAAGCCCUAUUUUAAACUUUUUUUCUUAUUAUAACACUAACCUAUUUUAUUGGGAAACCAGUAAAUAUUUAAACGCGAACAACUCUUAGCAGUGGAUAUCUUGGCUCUC
RNAcentral lists this unclassified non-coding RNA (245 nucleotides) under rhizosphere metagenome. RNAcentral's name for it is "partial ribosomal RNA internal transcribed spacer region". The record is from RNAcentral.